CAGAUCACUGCACAACCUUUUUCAGAUGCAGAGACUUGCAAACCUGGCCAGCAAAAUGCUUAAGUUGUGAUCUGCAAUGGACUUCCCUGUGGUGAGGUGGGCCUUCAUGUUCUGAGUUCCUGAAAUGUUGGUGAAGUUUGAGAAAGGGAAGAGAAACCAUGCCACAUCAACUCUGCACAACCACUUCCACCAUGUAUCUAAAUUAAGCCAGCGGUGCCGAGAGAGAGUACCAUGAAACAGUGAGCAGCUGCCUCCCCAGAAGGUUUACAUAAACCUGUGACUAAUAAAUGCAAUCCAGCCAAUGCCUAAGCCCA
This 314-nucleotide long non-coding RNA is filed under the name Numida meleagris (helmeted guineafowl). Its description in RNAcentral is "lncRNA (ENSNMEG00000007398.1)". The record is from RNAcentral. Lineage: Eukaryota; Metazoa; Chordata; Aves; Galliformes; Numididae.